GGCGAGGCCACGUCUCUAAGCCUCCAGCAAGGAAAUGCCCUUAAAAGGAGAUAUUUUGUAUCACUUUCUCUCUUUUCCUCUUCCCACAGGAUAGAAUGUGGACGUUGUGGGGAGACAGUUUUGACUGUAUGGAUGAUUAGAAUUCUCUGAGGGAGGUCAGAACAAGUCAGAAAGCAUCAGAGUACCUGGAUGAGUUGAUGGAGCACAGCCACUCACCUACUCUGAACCACCUGCCCACUUCCACAAAGGGAUGUGAAAGAGAAGGCCCAGGUGAAAUAGCAGCAGCACAGAGGCAUGCUUUUUUCACGGUGCAGGAAGGAGCACAGGGAGGAGCUUCCUACCCAGCUGACUCUGAAUGAAGUAUACAGUUUCUCCUCUGAUUGGGGUGGAUGAGGAAACAGAAGGCCAGAAUAUUUCGUGAAUUGCCCCGAAAGUCAUUCCUGUUUGGAGAUUGCUUUUAAAGGAAGACGGGAUUCGUUUCCAUGGGAGACUGCAUGUAUCUGAUGAGCGGAGUUUCAGUUUGCGCAGGAAGAUAUCUGAAGAGGAGAUGGAUUAUAAUGUUCAACUCAGGACAACUUAUGCACUGGGUCAGUUCAGACGGGCUUCCAAGAACCGAAAAAACAGAAACGUUAAGAUUUGUACUCCACCUGCUUCAUGCACUGUUACAGUUUCUGCAAGGCUGUAAUGAGAGACAAACUGUCAAGCUAGAAAAAGACACGUGGUCCCCUCUGACAGCCACAUCUGUUUUUAUAUCACAUCCACCUACCUUCCUGGGGGAAGGUCAGUGCUGAUCUGACUCCCUGCGUCUACCUGGUAACAGUACUGACAGACAAGAUAACUGCACAGGUGUGGGAGCGAAGGAGAUACGUGUCUGAGAACCUCCUCUAGGUUCUGGGCUUGGAAGAUGUGUACAUCUGAGGUCACGCUACAGCUGUCUCCCUCAGUGCAGUGGAUUUCAGGAUUCUUCCUGUUUUACAGGCCAUGAGCCAGGCGAGGUGGUGGUGCCACCCAGAGGGAGCACUGAUCUCACAAACUGGGCACCCUCCUGCAGCGACUUGUUACACAGAGUACAGUGAGGUGGACUCUGGACGUAAUCUUUUGAACGAUAAGAAUUGCUGUGUUUUAUUUUACCCCUCUACCUUUUCCCGUGUUUGUUUACUCCAUGGUGUCACUUUUUUUUUCCCUGACAUCCAUGCGUCAUGUUUUCCUUUGUUUACUAAACCUACCAGGCCUUUCUUCUCUGAAAAAUGCCUCCGUGCUCCAAAUUCAUCUCUGCUUUCCACCAAAACCUCCACUUCUUUCUUUCUGCCUAAUCACAGCUAAGACAGAAAUAUUCUUGGAGU
Vicugna pacos (alpaca) is the source of this 1343-nucleotide non-coding RNA. The record is from RefSeq and is a predicted model, not a curated record. Lineage: Eukaryota; Metazoa; Chordata; Mammalia; Artiodactyla; Camelidae.